This 84-nucleotide transfer RNA is filed under the name Kapaibacterium sp. (SeqCode). RNAcentral's name for it is "tRNA-Tyr". It matches the Rfam family "tRNA". From Rfam's summary of the family: Transfer RNA (tRNA) molecules are approximately 80 nucleotides in length. Their secondary structure includes four short double-helical elements and three loops (D, anti-codon, and T loops). Further hydrogen bonds mediate the characteristic L-shaped molecular structure. tRNAs have two regions of fundamental functional importance: the anti-codon, which is responsible for specific mRNA codon recognition, and the 3' end, to which the tRNAs corresponding amino acid is attached (by aminoacyl-tRNA synthetases). tRNAs cope with the degeneracy of the genetic code in two manners: having more than one tRNA (with a specific anti-codon) for a particular amino acid; and 'wobble' base-pairing, i.e. permitting non-standard base-pairing at the 3rd anti-codon position. The record is from RNAcentral. Lineage: Bacteria; Pseudomonadati; Bacteroidota; Eximiradiia; Eximiradiales; Kapaibacteriaceae (SeqCode).
GGGCAGAUACCGAAGCGGUUAAACGGGGCAGACUGUAAAUCUGCUAGGGUAAUCCUUACGGAGGUUCGAAUCCUUCUCUGCCCA